RNAcentral lists this ribosomal RNA (253 nucleotides) under uncultured bacterium. RNAcentral describes it as "partial 16S ribosomal RNA". It matches the Rfam family "Bacterial small subunit ribosomal RNA", at positions 524 to 776 of the family's 1533-position model. The record is from RNAcentral.
UACAGAGGUCUCAAGCGUUGUUCGGAUUCAUUGGGCGUAAAGGGUGCGUAGGUGGCGCUGUAAGUCGGGUGUGAAAUUUCGAGGCUUAACCUCGAAACUGCAUUCGAUACUGCGGUGCUUGAGGACUGGAGAGGAGACUGGAAUUCAUGGUGUAGCAGUGAAAUGCGUAGAGAUCAUGAGGAAGACCAGUGGCGAAGGCGGGUCUCUGGACAGUUCCUGACGCUGAGGCACGAAGGCCAGGGGAGCAAACGGG